AAAAUAAAUUUUUUUGUAAUCUUUUAUUAUUGGUUAAUUUACCUUUUGCAUCAUGAUACCAGGAUUUUUAUAAAUGAAAUUUUUACACCGAAACCUUUGGAUCUAUAAUGUGAUUAAAAAAGUGUUUAAUUCAUAUGCGGGUCGCAUUUUUAAAUCAUUUUAUUGUUGUGAUAAAUUAAUCGUCUUAGGUUAUAUCUGUUUAGUGACUAUUAAUUUAAAAUUAGCAUUAUGGCGAAAAGGUCAGAAUGCUGUCUAUAUAAUAAAUUGUUUUUUAGUGGUAGGGUUAAAAUUACCUUUAGUUUAAAAUCUUGUUAUAAGUUUGAUAAAUAGAAAUAGUUUUAUUAGAUUGAUUAGUCAUUUUUAAUUAAUAUUUUGUUUAAAAUAAUCUGAUAAUAAGUAAUAUUAUUAUAAUCUUUAAUUCUCAUUUCGAGUCCGUCUGUUUAUUAAAAACAUUUCCACUGUUUAAAUAGUUUGUGGUAGUACCUGCCCAGUGUAUUAAUAAAUGGCCGCAGUAUUUUGACUGUGCGAAGGUAGCAUAAUUAAUUGCCUUUUAAUUGGAGGCUAGUUUGAAUGGUUUAACGAGACUUUGAUUUUAUAUGGGUUAUAUUUUUUGAAAUUAAUUUAGUGGGCACAGAAUCCACUUAUUAUAACAAGACGGAAAGACCCCAGGAUCUUUCAUUUUUGCUUGGGGUAAGUUAAAUUAUUUUAUUUUAAUUAAGAUCCUAUUGGUUUAAUGGUUAAAGUUACCCUGGGGAUAACAGUGUAAUAAUUUAUUAGAGAUCCUAUCGAAUAAAUUGUUUGCCACCUCGAUGUUGACUUAGGUUUAAUUUUUGGCGCAGUAGUUUAAAAUUUUUGGUCUGUUCGACCUUUGAGACCUCCAUGAGUUGAGUUAAGACCGGCGUGAGCCAGGUCGGUUCUUAUCUAUUGGUGGAACCUGUUAGUACGAAAGGACCACAGGUAAUUUUUGU
Molecule: ribosomal RNA, 968 nt
Filed under: Echinobothrium harfordi
Lineage: Eukaryota; Metazoa; Platyhelminthes; Cestoda; Diphyllidea; Echinobothriidae
Description: 16S ribosomal RNA
Rfam family: Bacterial large subunit ribosomal RNA (bases 623-968)
Source: RNAcentral